Molecule: long non-coding RNA, 711 nt
Organism: Prunus persica (peach)
Lineage: Eukaryota; Viridiplantae; Streptophyta; Magnoliopsida; Rosales; Rosaceae
Exons: 2
Source: RefSeq, a predicted model, not a curated record
UAUACAAACAGUCAUUCUCCUUUGAACCCAAUCUCUGUUGAUUCCUUGCUUCUUCAAUGCAGAAUUGUUGGGGUUUCAAAUUAGGUUUGAAUAUUACAGAUACUCAGAAGGUUCGAUGGUCACAAUUUAGCACGUCUGAGACAUCCCAGCUUUCAUGGUUAUUUCCUACAAUCAUGCUCAUUCCGUCCAAAUCGCUCCAGAUUUCCGUCCAGUCGCUGCAGAUUUCUUGCUGCAAUAAUGUAGAGUUUUUUGGGUAUGAAAGUGAUAGGAACCUGAUGAUCAAAAGCAAGAAAUCAAUUGUUGACAAAAUAGGGAUUGGGUCUUCUGACAUUGGGUUGCUGGAGUGCAGUUCCUCACGUACAGUGAAGCAAGGAUGGCUGCAAUAGCGUGGGCACAUGGGAAGCCAUUAAGCUGCCACUGAUGACAAGAACAAGUACGUUGCUGGAUAUCGAUGACAAAAGAGUACUCAGCACGAACCUCAAACACGUGUUCACUUAAACGGCUAACAUCCCAAUGCCUCCCAAUGUCCACAGCUUUCUGCAAUUUUUUUUCCAUAUUAGGGCAGAGAUAUGUAGUCCAUUUUUCUGCUUCGCGACGCCGAGCAGCAUAUUUGACCAUCAUGUUCACCCGUAACCGUUCAAACAAUUGGAAAAUAGGCAACUCGCGCUCAACAACAAUCCAUGAGUUGAAGCACUCUGCCAGAUUUGAACA